GAUGAACGCUGGCGGCGCGCCUAACACAUGCAAGUCGAACGGCACCUGCCUUCGGGCAGAAGCGAGUGGCGAACGGCUGAGUAACACGUGGAGAACCUGCCCCCUCCCCCGGGAUAGCCGCCCGAAAGGACGGGUAAUACCGGAUACCCCGGGGUGCCGCAUGGCACCCCGGCUAAAGCCCCGACGGGAGGGGAUGGCUCCGCGGCCCAUCAGGUAGACGGCGGGGUGACGGCCCACCGUGCCGA
RNAcentral lists this ribosomal RNA (245 nucleotides) under uncultured Actinomycetes bacterium. Its description in RNAcentral is "uncultured actinobacterium partial 16S ribosomal RNA". It matches the Rfam family "Bacterial small subunit ribosomal RNA", at positions 28 to 276 of the family's 1533-position model. The record is from RNAcentral. Lineage: Bacteria; Bacillati; Actinomycetota; Actinomycetes.